Molecule: ribosomal RNA, 460 nt
Filed under: uncultured bacterium
Lineage: Bacteria
Description: partial 16S ribosomal RNA
Rfam family: Bacterial small subunit ribosomal RNA
Source: RNAcentral
CCUACGGGCGGCUGCAGUGAGGAAUAUUGGUCAAUGGACGAGAGUCUGAACCAGCCAAGUAGCGUGAAGGAUGACUGCCCUCUGGGUUGUAAACUUCUUUUAUCUGGGAAUAAAAUGUUUCACGUGUGGGAUUUUGUAUGUACCAUAUGAAUAAGGAUAGGCUAACUCCGUGCCAGCAGCCGCGGUAAUACGGAGGAUCCGAGCGUUAUCCGGAUUUAUUGGGUUUAAAGGGAGCGUAGGUGGAUUGUUAAGUCAGUUGUGAAAGUUUGCGGCUCAACCGUAAAAUUGCAGUUGAAACUGGCAGUCUUGAGUACAGUAGAGGUGGGCGGAAUUCGUGGUGUAGCGGUGAAAUGCUUAGAUAUCACGAAGAACUCCGAUUGCGAAGGCAGUUCACUGGACUGCAACUGACACUGAGGCUCGAAAGUGUGGGUAUCAAACAGGAUUAGAUACCCUGGUAGUC